GUAAAGCGCGGGUAGGCGGUUUGGUAAGUCGGAUGUGAAAGCCCCGGGCUUAACCGGGGAAUUGCAUUCGAUACUGCCUGACUCGAGUAUGGUAGAGGGAAGUGGAAUUUCCGGUGUAGCGGUGAAAUGCGUAGAUAUCGGAAGGAACACCAGUGGCGAAGGCGACUUCCUGGGCCAAUACUGACGCGGAGGCGCGAAAGCGUGGGGAGCAAACAGG
Molecule: ribosomal RNA, 217 nt
Filed under: uncultured bacterium
Lineage: Bacteria
Description: partial 16S ribosomal RNA
Rfam family: Bacterial small subunit ribosomal RNA
Source: RNAcentral